ACCUGAAACUCUACCCUCUCCAGCCGAGAAUAACUGCCUGCCCCACCCCCUCCACAUAAGCUCCAACACGUCCCCCUCCCCCAAGGCCUCCAGGCUCUGUGUUGAGCUGGGGACACAGCCACGCCCUAGUCUGGCCACAGGGUCUGGCUGCAGGAGGAAGAGCAGGUCCUCAGGGUGGGCCGGGGCUGCAGGAGCUCCCCUCAAGUCCCAGGUCCCUGGCCUCCUCCCGUGAUCAACCCAUCUCACAUGACAGCUUCUCUUUGAGGCUUCCAACAACACUGAGAUGGCUGACAGGGGCUCAGGGGAGAAAGAAUUCCACUUGAGUUUAUACGCGGGAGGCACUCCUGGGAGCAGCCUCCCUGGCCGCCCAGGUAACAGGUACCUGGAGGCAGGACCAGCCCAUGGGAGCCUCUCCCCACACCUCUGGCCCUGGGCAGAUGAACAGCGGACAAAACCUGUCCAGGGCAGGCCUGCAGAGAGGGGCCAUGCAGCUUCUGCCUCAGCCUGACACCCAGUCCUGGGUUAGGGAAGUUUACCAGGAUCCUCUCCUUCUCAUUGCCCUGGGCAAAUCCAGCCAGCCUCCCUUCACUCCCACAGCGGGGUCUACCUGGACCACAGCAGGAGACAGCCUGAGGGGUGCACUGUCACUACCACUAGGUGCUCCACCAGAGCAUCUAGUUCAAAGGGAGUCCGAGGUCCCUGUCCUCACGAGACUGACCUUCUAAAGGGGCCAGCAAA
Molecule: non-coding RNA, 738 nt
Organism: Vicugna pacos (alpaca)
Lineage: Eukaryota; Metazoa; Chordata; Mammalia; Artiodactyla; Camelidae
Source: RefSeq, a predicted model, not a curated record